GCAAUAACUCCGGGCUUGCCUCUGUUUCUCUAUAACUACACCACCCAUCAGUUACAUGGCAUUUUUGAGGCAGCAAGUUUUGGGGGCUCCAACAUUGAUCCAACUGCUUGGGAAGACAAGAAAUGUAAAGGCGAGUCCAGGUUUCCAGCUCAGGUAAGAAUCCGCAUUAGAAAACUCUGCAGGGCGUUAGAAGAAGAUUCCUUCAGGCCAGUCUUGCACCACUAUGAUGGUCCAAAAUUCCGUCUCGAACUAUCGAUCCCUGAGACAUUGGAUCUUCUAGACCUGUGUGAGCAGGCGGGUUCAGCAUCAUAAGCUAAGCAACAACGACAAGCUUAUGCAUCACAGAGAAUGGUGAAUGAAGAGGGCUCAAUGGUUCCUGUCAGCUAAGGCUAAGACACAGAUUUUUCAAAGAGCGCAAGCUUAGGAUGAGUCUGAUCAAGCAGCGAGUAGUGAGUUUGGCGAGUGAAGGCUUAAGCCAAAAUAAGUAAGGGAAAAAAAAAUUGUAUGUUCUUGUAUUAUUGUAUUGUAUCAUCAGACAAGGUGAGUAGAUAAUGUAAUAGUGAAU
Molecule: unclassified non-coding RNA, 565 nt
Filed under: Hevea brasiliensis (rubber tree)
Lineage: Eukaryota; Viridiplantae; Streptophyta; Magnoliopsida; Malpighiales; Euphorbiaceae
Source: RNAcentral